UACGAAGGGUGCGAGCGUUAAUCGGAAUAACUGGGCGUAAAGGGCACGCAGGCGGUGACUUAAGUGAGGUGUGAAAGCCCCGGGCUUAACCUGGGAAUUGCAUUUCAUACUGGGUCGCUAGAGUACUUUAGGGAGGGGUAGAAUUCCACGUGUAGCGGUGAAAUGCGUAGAGAUGUGGAGGAAUACCGAAGGCGAAGGCAGCCCCUUGGGAAUGUACUGACGCUCAUGUGCGAAAGCGUGGGGAGCAAACAGG
RNAcentral lists this ribosomal RNA (253 nucleotides) under uncultured Pasteurellaceae bacterium. RNAcentral describes it as "partial 16S ribosomal RNA". It matches the Rfam family "Bacterial small subunit ribosomal RNA", at positions 524 to 776 of the family's 1533-position model. Lineage: Bacteria; Pseudomonadati; Pseudomonadota; Gammaproteobacteria; Pasteurellales; Pasteurellaceae. The record is from RNAcentral.